RNAcentral lists this long non-coding RNA (458 nucleotides) under Bos taurus (domestic cattle). RNAcentral's name for it is "long non-coding RNA NONBTAT008187". Lineage: Eukaryota; Metazoa; Chordata; Mammalia; Artiodactyla; Bovidae. The record is from RNAcentral.
CAAAUGCAAAAAUAUGAUUAAAAAAAAACAAAUGAUGGACUAAUCUUUCUGAUCAAACUGCAUUACUAGGAUCCAGGCUAAUUUUAAACAAAUUUUAAAAAAAUGCACAGUUCUCAGAGUAUACCUCUUAGGGGGAGAUAUCUGUUUUUAAACUCCUCUGUGAAUUUACAAAGAGCAAGGAUCUGAAACAGGAAUGACAACUAGAAUUCUUUGGGGCCCCAGUUCUUAUCUUUUCUGUUGACUUCUCACUUACCUGGAAGACCAGAACAAAAUGCAGGUGAGAAUGUUCAUUUGGAUCCAUUCAUAAAGGAUGUGUUAGACAUUUGACCAUCUCCCCAUUCAGCCGACAUGUAUAGAGAACUGUGACUCAACAUGGUUCCAGAGGGAAAAAAAGAUGGUCUUUCCCAUAUAAGAAGAUAAGUAGAUAUACAAGGGGACAGUCUCCUCGUGGUUUUAAG